This 477-nucleotide ribosomal RNA is filed under the name uncultured bacterium. RNAcentral describes it as "partial 16S ribosomal RNA". It matches the Rfam family "Bacterial small subunit ribosomal RNA", at positions 28 to 507 of the family's 1533-position model. The record is from RNAcentral.
GAUUAACGCUGGCGGCGUGCAUAACACAUGCAAGUCGAACGAUAAUACUUAACUGAUUUCUUUGGAAUGAACUUAAGUGGAUUAGUGGAGGACAGGUGAGUAACGCUUGAGUAACCGGCCUUACACAAGGGGAUAUCCGUUGGAAACGACGUAUAAUACCCUAUGAAACUAUCGCUUCGCAUGAGGCGAUAUUCAGAGUGGUAGCGGUGUAAGAUGGACUUGCGUCUGAUUAGCUGGGUGGUGAGAAAAAGGCUCACCAAGGCAACGGUCAGUAGCCGGCGUGAGAGAGUGUACGGCCACAUAGGGACUGAGGCGCGGCCCAGACUCCUACGUGAAGCAGGAGUGGGGAAUUGUGGAAAAUGGGGGAAACCCUGAUGCAGCGACGCCGGGUGAUUUAGAAGGCCCUUGAGUGGUAAAAAUCUUUUGUAUAGGAAGAAAAUGAGAGUACUAGACGAAUAAGGGCCGGCUAAUUACGUG